This 806-nucleotide ribosomal RNA is filed under the name sediment metagenome. RNAcentral's name for it is "bacterial SSU rRNA". It matches the Rfam family "Bacterial small subunit ribosomal RNA", at positions 8 to 808 of the family's 1533-position model. The record is from RNAcentral.
AGAGUUUGAUCCUGGCUCAGAACGAACGCUGGCGGCGCGCCUAAUACAUGCAAGUCGAGCGAGAAGACGUAGCAAUACGUUUGUAAAGCGGCGAACGGGUGAGGAAUACAUGGGUAACCUACCCUCGAGUGGGGAAUAACUAGCCGAAAGGUUAGCUAAUACCGCGUACGCUCCUUGGACUUCGGUUCAGGGAGGAAAGCGAUACCGUGGGUAUCGCGCUCUUGGAUGGGCUCAUGUCCUAUCAGCUUGUUGGUGAGGUAACGGCUCACCAAGGCUUCGACGGGUAGCUGGUCUGAGAGGACGAUCAGCCACACUGGCACUGCGACACGGGCCAGACUCCUACGGGAGGCAGCAGUAAGGAAUAUUGCGCAAUGGGCGAAAGCCUGACGCAGCGACGCCGCGUGGGGGAUGAAGGUCUUCGGAUUGUAAACCCCUUUCGGGAGGGAAGAUGGAGCGAGCAAUCGUUCGGACGGUACCUCCAGAAGCAGCCACGGCUAACUUCGUGCCAGCAGCCGCGGUAAUACGAAGGUGGCAAGCGUUAUUCGGAUUUACUGGGCGUACAGGGAGCGUAGGCGGUUCGGUAAGCCCUUUGUGAAAUCUUCAGGCUUAACCUGGAAAAGUCGGAGGGGACUGCCGGGCUAGAGGACGGGAGAGGAGCGCGGAAUUCCCGGUGUAGCGGUGAAAUGCGUAGAGAUCGGGAGGAAGGCCGGUGGCGAAGGCGGCGCUCUGGAACGUUUCUGACGCUGAGGCUCGAAAGCGUGGGGAGCAAACAGGAUUAGAUACCCUGGUAGUCCACGCCGUAAACG